This 614-nucleotide ribosomal RNA is filed under the name Micrococcus luteus. RNAcentral describes it as "bacterial SSU rRNA". It matches the Rfam family "Bacterial small subunit ribosomal RNA", at positions 241 to 867 of the family's 1533-position model. The record is from RNAcentral. Lineage: Bacteria; Bacillati; Actinomycetota; Actinomycetes; Micrococcales; Micrococcaceae.
UCAGCUUGUUGGUGAGGUAAUGGCUCAUCAAGGCGACGACGGGUAGCCGGCCUGAGAGGGUGACCGGCCACACUGGACUGAGACACGGCCCAGACUCCUACGGGAGCAGCAGUGGGGAAUAUUGCGCAAUGGGCGCAAGCCUGAUGCAGCGACGCCGCGUGAGGGAUGACGGCCUUCGGGUUGUAAACCUCUUUCAGUAGGGAAGGAGCGAAAGUGACGGUACCUGCAGAAGAAGCACCGGCUAACUACGUGCCAGCAGCCGCGGUAAUACGUAGGGUGCGAGCGUUAUCCGGAAUUAUUGGGCGUAAAGAGCUCGUAGGCGGUUUGUCGCGUCUGUCGUGAAGUCCGGGGCUUAACCCCGGAUCUGCGGUGGGUACGGGCAGACUAGNGUGCAGUAGGGGAGACUGGAAUUCCUGGUGUAGCGGUGGAAUGCGCAGAUAUCAGGAGGAACACCGAUGGCGAAGGCAGGUCUCUGGGCUGUAACUGACGCUGAGGAGCGAAAGCAUGGGGAGCGAACAGGAUUAGAUACCCUGGUAGUCCAUGCCGUAACCGUUGGGCACUAGGUGUGGGGACCAUUCCACGGUUUUCCGCGCCGCAGCUAACGCAUUAAGUGC